RNAcentral lists this ribosomal RNA (468 nucleotides) under uncultured bacterium. Its description in RNAcentral is "partial 16S ribosomal RNA". It matches the Rfam family "Bacterial small subunit ribosomal RNA", at positions 28 to 507 of the family's 1533-position model. The record is from RNAcentral.
GACGAACGCUGGCGGCGUGCUUAACACAUGCAAGUCGAACGGAAAGGCCCUGCUUUUGUGGGGUGCUCGAGUGGCGAACGGGUGAGUAACACGUGAGUAACCUGCUCUUGUCUUUGGGAUAACUUCAGGAAACUGGGGCUAAUACCGGAUAGGAGCUCCUGCUGCAUGGUGGGGGUUGGAAAGUUUCGGCGGUUGGGGAUGGACUCGCGGCUUAUCAGCUUGUUGGUGGGGUAGUGGCUUACCAAGGCUUUGACGGGUAGCCGGCCUGAGAGGGUGACCGGCCACAUUGGGACUGAGAGACGGCCCAGACUCCUACGGGAGGCAGCAGUGGGGAAUAUUGCACAAUGGGCGGAAGCCUGAUGCAGCAACGCCGCGUGCGGGAUGACGGCCUUCGGGUUGUAAACCGCUUUCGCCUGUGACGAAGCGUGAGUGACGGUAAUGGGUAAAGAAGCACCGGCUAACUACGUG